AAAUCAAAAGUUUUAAUAUAUGAAAAAAUCACAAAAAAGGGUUUAAAUAGUUUCUGCAUAUGUUAUAUUAAUAUUUAAUCUAAAUAAAUGUUAGGUAUUUUAACUUAAAUGCCCUAAAGUUAUUAUUUUGACUGAUCUGGCUACAGUGCAAAACGUUAUAAAAAACGCUAAUUUUGAGGCGCUCUCACACUGGAAAGAUUUGGGCAUCCCAUUGUCCCUGCUUGCCGUAUUCUCGUCACUCUCUCGCUAACAAACUACAAACCACUGAAUACGCAGCGUUGCCGUUUUGGUCCGAUCGGACCAAAAUUGGUAGUUUUAUUUGCCUUUGGUAAUUUGGUUGGUAGGCAUAAAGGCACAAUGCUAAUGUGUAGCAAUUGAUGUCUAAAUACUCAUGCGAUACAUUGCUAGCAAUGAACUGUCAUUUUAAUGGUUUGAUAGAGCUGUUUUCAUUUGCACAAAAAUUUUAAAGAGGCAACAUGAUGCCAGCAAAGAUGAAAUGCCAAUGUUUUAUGUUUUGUUGCGCAAACUGCGAUUGAGCAAAAUAAUAUUCAAAACAUGGAAAAUAGUAUUUAAAUAUUGUACAUAUAUUCAUAUGUAUAUGUAUGGUUAAUAUUUUAUUGAUAAUUGUUAACAUAUGUAACUAUCAAUCAUCAUAUUUAAUUAUUAAAUUGGAAUUGCAAUAAUUAUUUAAUUCUUGAAACAUAAAAUCUUAUUUUUCCAAAUAAUACAUUUAUUGGAAAAUGUUAAUUUCUUUUUUUUUCAUUCUUCACAUAAAUUUUUGUCAUCCUAAUAAAAUUUUUUAAUGGUUCAGGAGCUCAAACAUGCGCUAUAUCAGCUCGAACAUACCUAUCCGACGUCAUUUCGAAAGUGAAUAUAUCAUGAUAGUAAAUUCCCACACAACAACAUUGCAGACCUCAAUGGCAAUGUAACAUAUUUGGCCGAUGGUGAGCAAUGUACAUUGUCUGUGGAGCUGCGGUGUAAGGUUAAAAAAAAAUCAUGAAUGGGAACCUGCUCAAUGUGUGAAAACGAGAGAUCUAACUAUAUCUGAAACUAUGAGAUAAAGGAUUAUAAUUGUUAAUAUUAUACUUUCAACUGGUUUUUUAGGUAAAUGAAAACUUAAACUUUUACGACAUGUCAAUUAACAACGGUUUUGACGACUGGAAAGAUCAGACUGAAAUCCUACCAAAAAUAUAUGUGAACGGAGGGAUUUAUUGCCGCCGUUCAAGAUCAAUAAUAAAAAAUUUAAUACAAUGAAAAUUAAAUAAAAUGCGUAGUUUAAAUGAA
Bactrocera oleae (olive fruit fly) is the source of this 1284-nucleotide non-coding RNA. NCBI's taxonomy places the organism in Eukaryota, Metazoa, Arthropoda, Insecta, Diptera, Tephritidae. The record is from RefSeq and is a predicted model, not a curated record.